GUACUGCGCCAUCGUUCGUCGUCUACUAUGUCUUGCCCGUAUGACGUGGACAGGCGAUUGGGCGAGCAGGCUCUGGAACGUUCUCCUUCUCCCAUCCUGCAUCGGUGCUUUUAUACUUUCGGUUGAAUGUCCUGUCAGCUAACACGAUCACACGUCGGAUGCAUGCAGGCACUAAGCUGAGCCACCUGGUGUGGUGUCCUGGAUGGACGACCCAUGGAUGCAUGAUGCACACCGAAGUCAAGGUUGCUGCUUGGUAGCGAAGGAAGAAUCAAGUAAAGACAAAGGUCGAUCCAUCGCGAUUCUUCCAUGGACGUCGACGAGCUUUUGUUGGUAGCAAUCAGCCAUAUGGAAACAACGAAGACGAUGGCGGCGGGGUUGUCAGGAUAUCGGACGAGGUGGACGCCGCGGAGAUUCAGCUCCAAGAGGUAAUCAUGUCGUCCGCCAUGGCGGCCACCGCUGCGGCGGCGGCGGCACAGCGGUAGUGUGUUAGUGAUACGCAUGUGUGAGUUAGUAUGCUUAGUGAAAGCGGGAUGAGUCUACGGGUCGAGCGUCCAAUCGGUUUAGAGAAAAAUCGGGCGCUGACGUCGCGCCCGAUUUAUGUGUAAAAUAUUUUAAACUGAUUUUUCUCUUAAAUUACUUAUUCUGAUUCAAAUUAUGAUCCGAUUGCAUCAUUAAAUUCGUUGUAAUUAAAUCUUCAAAACAAGACCACGCAUUGAUAUAUUCCGACGAAAUU
This is a long non-coding RNA of Oryza sativa Japonica Group (Japanese rice), 733 nucleotides long. RefSeq lists it as uncharacterized. The record is from RefSeq and is a predicted model, not a curated record. Lineage: Eukaryota; Viridiplantae; Streptophyta; Magnoliopsida; Poales; Poaceae.